Molecule: long non-coding RNA, 197 nt
Filed under: Cavia porcellus (domestic guinea pig)
Lineage: Eukaryota; Metazoa; Chordata; Mammalia; Rodentia; Caviidae
Description: lncRNA (ENSCPOG00000033230.1)
Source: RNAcentral
AACCGAAGCCUCUGUUUUAACCCAAGAAGCACGGACGUGUGACCUGGCGGUUACAGCCCACUCGGGGGAAUCACAGCGACAGAGAAAGUCCGAUUUCCUAUGGGUACCGCGCCCUACAGGAAUCGUCGGGAUAGACCAGGUCUCGCCUCUGUCUCAAGGACACAGACAAACAGCUGAGGACUGAGUCUUUGUUCCCC